GAUGAACGCUGGCGGCGUGCCUAAUACAUGCAAGUCGAACGAAACUUCUUUAUCACCGAGUGCUUGCACUCACCGAUACAGAGUUGAGUGGCGAACGGGUGAGUAACACGUGGGCAACCUGCCCAAAAGAGGGGGAUAACACUUGGAAACAGGUGCUAAUACCGCAUAACCAUAGUUACCGCAUGGUAACUAUGUAAAAGGUGGCUAUACUACCGCUUUUGGAUGGGCCCGCGGCGCAUUAGCUAGCUGGUAGGGUAAAGGCUUACCAAGGCAAUGAUGCGUAGCCGAAUUGAGAGGUUGAUCGGCCACAUUGGGACUGAGACACGGCCCAAACUCCUACGGGAGGCAGCAGUAGGGAAUCUUCCACAAUGGGCGAAAGCCUGAUGGAGCAACGCCGCGUGGGUGAAGAAGGUCUUCGGAUCGUAAAACCCUGUUGUUAGAGAAGAAAGUGCGUGAGAGUAACUGUUCACGUUUCGACGGUAUCUAACCAGAAAGCCACGGCUAACUACGUG
Molecule: ribosomal RNA, 512 nt
Filed under: uncultured bacterium
Lineage: Bacteria
Description: partial 16S ribosomal RNA
Rfam family: Bacterial small subunit ribosomal RNA
Source: RNAcentral